This 370-nucleotide ribosomal RNA is filed under the name uncultured bacterium. Its description in RNAcentral is "bacterial SSU rRNA". It matches the Rfam family "Bacterial small subunit ribosomal RNA", at positions 29 to 416 of the family's 1533-position model. The record is from RNAcentral.
AACGAACGCUGGCGGCAUGCCUAACACAUGCAAGUCGAAUGGGAUCCUGGUUUCGGCCAGGUGAGAGUGGCGGACGGGUGAGUAACGCGUGGGAACCUGCCCAGUGGUGGGGGAUAACUGCGGGAAACUGCAGCUAAUACCGCAUGAGCCCGCAAGGGGAAAGAUUGAUCGCCAUUGGAGGGGCCCGCGUUCGAUUAGGUAGUUGGUGAGGUAACGGCUCACCAAGCCUACGANCGAUAGCUGGUCUGAGAGGAUGAUCAGCCACACUGGGACUGAGAUACGGCCCAGACUCCUACGGGAGGCAGCAGUGGGGAAUAUUGGACAAUGGGGGCAACCCUGAUCCAGCAAUGCCGCGUGAGUGAUGAAGGCC